RNAcentral lists this ribosomal RNA (445 nucleotides) under uncultured bacterium. RNAcentral describes it as "bacterial SSU rRNA". It matches the Rfam family "Bacterial small subunit ribosomal RNA", at positions 355 to 823 of the family's 1533-position model. The record is from RNAcentral.
UCGGGAAUUUUGGGCAAUGGGCGAAAGCCUGACCCAGCAACGCCGCGUGAAGGAUGAAGUAUUUCGGUAUGUAAACUUCGUAAGAAUAGGAAGAAUAAAUGACGGUACUAUUUGUAAGGUCCGGCUAACUACGUGCCAGCAGCCGCGGUAAUACGUAGGGACCAAGCGUUGUUCGGAUUUACUGGGCGUAAAGGGCGCGUAGGCGGUGUGUCAAGUCAGUUGUGAAAUCUCCGAGCUUAACUCGGAACGGUCAACUGAUACUGUCACACUAGAGUACAGAAGGGGCAAUCGGAAUUCUUGGUGUAGCGGUGAAAUGCGUAGAUAUCAAGAGGAACACCUGAGGCGAAGGCGGGUUGCUGGGCUGAUACUGACGCUGAGGCGCGAAAGCUAGGGUAGCAAACGGGAUUAGAUACCCCUGUAGUCCCUGAGCGGGCUGGCAAGGCGC